RNAcentral lists this transfer RNA (63 nucleotides) under Darevskia chlorogaster. RNAcentral's name for it is "tRNA-Cys". Lineage: Eukaryota; Metazoa; Chordata; Lepidosauria; Squamata; Lacertidae. The record is from RNAcentral.
AGCCCCGCGGUGUUUUACGUCAAAAUGCAAGUUUGAAGAAGCACUUUAAAGGUGCCGGGGCUU